Molecule: ribosomal RNA, 329 nt
Filed under: uncultured eukaryote
Lineage: Eukaryota
Description: partial 18S ribosomal RNA
Rfam family: Eukaryotic small subunit ribosomal RNA
Source: RNAcentral
CCCUUAGAUGUUCUGGGCCGCACGCGCGCUACACCGGUACGUUCAACAAGUUUACAACCUUGAUCGAUAGGUCUGGGUAAUCUUUUUAAUGCGUACCGUGCUAGGGAUAGAUUAUUGCAAUUAUUAAUCUUGAACGAGGAAUUCCUAGUAAACGCAAGUCAUCAGCUUGCAUUGAUUACGUCCCUGCCCUUUGUACACACCGCCCGUCGCACCUACUGAUUGAAUGACUCGGUGAAAAAUUGGGACUGUGAGAACAAUCGAUUCAGUUCGAAUGUACUCGUGGAAACUUUUUUUAACCUCGCCAUUUAGAAGAAGGUGAAGUCGUANCA